UGUCACUUAUAGAUGGACCCGCGCCGUAUUAGCUAGUUGGUGAGGUAACGGCUCACCAAGGCAACGAUACGUAGCCGACCUGAGAGGGUGAUCGGCCACACUGGAACUGAGACGCGGUCCAGACUCCGACGGGAGGCAGCAGUAGGGAAUCUUCCGCAAUGGGCGAAAGCCUGACGGAGCAACGCCGCGUGAGUGAUGAAGGUCUUCGGAUCGUAAAGCUCUGUUGUUAGGGAAGAACAAAUGUGUAAGUAACU
Molecule: ribosomal RNA, 254 nt
Filed under: Staphylococcus chromogenes
Lineage: Bacteria; Bacillati; Bacillota; Bacilli; Caryophanales; Staphylococcaceae
Description: partial 16S ribosomal RNA
Rfam family: Bacterial small subunit ribosomal RNA
Source: RNAcentral